This 478-nucleotide ribosomal RNA is filed under the name uncultured bacterium. Its description in RNAcentral is "partial 16S ribosomal RNA". It matches the Rfam family "Bacterial small subunit ribosomal RNA", at positions 29 to 523 of the family's 1533-position model. The record is from RNAcentral.
AGUGAACGCUGGCGGCGUGCUUAACACAUGCAAGUCGAACGGACUUUAAGGGGCUUGCUUCUUAAAGUUAGUGGCGCACGGGUGAGUAAUGUAUAGCUAACCUGCCCUUUAGUGGGGGACAACAGUUGGAAACGGCUGCUAAUACCCCAUACUCCUUCUUAUCAUAAGGGAAGUUGGGAAAGAUUUAUUGCUAAAGGAUGGGGCUUUAUGGUAUCAGCUAGUUGGUGGGGUAAAGGCCUACCAAGGCUAUGACGCCUACCUGGUCUGAGAGGAUGAUCUGGCCCACUGGAACUGAGACACGGUCCAGACUCCUACGGGAGGCAGCAGUGGGGAAUAUUGCACAAUGGAGGAAACUCUGAUGCAGCAACGCCGCGUGGAGGAUGACGCAUUUCGGUGUGUAAACUCCUUUUAUAAGGGAAGAUAAUGACGGUACCUUAUGAAUAAGCACCGGCUAACUCCGUGCCAGCAGCCGCCGCCG